GCCUGGAUGGCUCAGUCUGUUGAGCGUCUGACUUUGGCUCAGGUCAUGAUCUCACAGUUCGUGAGUUCAAGCCCCACCUCAGGCU
This 85-nucleotide transfer RNA is filed under the name Felis catus (domestic cat). It matches the Rfam family "tRNA". From Rfam's summary of the family: Transfer RNA (tRNA) molecules are approximately 80 nucleotides in length. Their secondary structure includes four short double-helical elements and three loops (D, anti-codon, and T loops). Further hydrogen bonds mediate the characteristic L-shaped molecular structure. tRNAs have two regions of fundamental functional importance: the anti-codon, which is responsible for specific mRNA codon recognition, and the 3' end, to which the tRNAs corresponding amino acid is attached (by aminoacyl-tRNA synthetases). tRNAs cope with the degeneracy of the genetic code in two manners: having more than one tRNA (with a specific anti-codon) for a particular amino acid; and 'wobble' base-pairing, i.e. permitting non-standard base-pairing at the 3rd anti-codon position. Lineage: Eukaryota; Metazoa; Chordata; Mammalia; Carnivora; Felidae. RNAcentral also lists the same sequence under 1 other name. The record is from Rfam by way of RNAcentral.